RNAcentral lists this ribosomal RNA (253 nucleotides) under uncultured bacterium. Its description in RNAcentral is "partial 16S ribosomal RNA". It matches the Rfam family "Bacterial small subunit ribosomal RNA", at positions 524 to 776 of the family's 1533-position model. The record is from RNAcentral.
UACAGAGGGGGCAAGCGUUGUUCGGAAUUACUGGGCGUAAAGGGCGCGUAGGCGGCCUGUUAAGUCGAACGUGAAAUCCCCAGGCUCAACCUGGGAACUGCGUCCGAUACUGGCAGGCUUGAAUCCGGGAGAGGGAUGCGGAAUUCCAGGUGUAGCGGUGAAAUGCGUAGAUAUCUGGAGGAACACCGGUGGCGAAGGCGGCAUCCUGGACCGGUAUUGACGCUGAGGCGCGAAAGCCAGGGGAGCAAACGGG